This 252-nucleotide ribosomal RNA is filed under the name uncultured Bacteroidales bacterium. RNAcentral describes it as "partial 16S ribosomal RNA". It matches the Rfam family "Bacterial small subunit ribosomal RNA", at positions 524 to 776 of the family's 1533-position model. Lineage: Bacteria; Pseudomonadati; Bacteroidota; Bacteroidia; Bacteroidales. The record is from RNAcentral.
UACGGAGGAUGCGAGCGUUAUCCGGAUUUAUUGGGUUUAAAGGGUGCGUAGGCGGACUGUCAAGUCAGCGGUAAAAAUUCGGGGCUCAACCCCGUCGUGCCGUUGAAACUGAUGUUCUUGAGUGGGCGAGAAGUAUGCGGAAUGCGUGGUGUAGCGGUGAAAUGCAUAGAUAUCACGCAGAACUCCGAUUGCGAAGGCGACCUGCUAGAACAUAACUGACGCUGAUGCGCGAAAGCGUGGGGAGCAAACAGG